AAAGUCGUAACAAGGUUUCCGUAGGUGAACCUGCGGAAGGAUCAUUAUCAAACGUAUCCACGUUUAUAAACCAAACCGUGAACUGUCAUUUAACCUUUGGGCUACGGCCGCUGUGCGUGACGCUUAGGGUUCAUUGUAUGAUUAUGGGCCUGUCACACGCAAUUAAGGCUGUCUCUCCAAAGCGUAUUAAUCAUACGUUUAACAUUAUUAACCACUUGAACUAAAUUCAUUGCAUUGUUUGAGCUGAUUUGUUUCUUACUCACUAACACUGAGAAGAAAUUGAAUUACGAAACAAUUAUAGAACAACUCUUAGCAACGGAUAUCUUGGUUCUC
RNAcentral lists this unclassified non-coding RNA (333 nucleotides) under Cercozoa sp. RNAcentral's name for it is "partial contains small subunit ribosomal RNA, internal transcribed spacer 1, and 5.8S ribosomal RNA". The stretch from base 1 to 47 matches the Rfam family "Eukaryotic small subunit ribosomal RNA", at positions 1785 to 1831 of the family's 1831-position model. The record is from RNAcentral. Lineage: Eukaryota; Cercozoa.